GCCUCAUGCAGCGCGAGAAAAGCGGCCGGACGGCGGCGGCGGCGGCGGGGAUUGCGUCUCCGUCGGGAUUCGAUCAGCAGAUGGCGCAGGAGUUGGGGUUCUCCUCCAUGCUCAUGUUGCGCAUGUAGUAGUACUGCGGCUGCGGCGGCACGUACGGGUGGUACACCGGCGGCGGUGGCGGGGGGCGGUGGUACUGGUUCAUGUAGUCGGCGGUGAGCAUGUGCAUGUACUGCGGCGGCAGCUGGUGCUGGUGGUGCAUCCAUGGAGGGGCCACCGCGGCGGGCUUCUUCUCGUCCUCCUUCUUGCCUUCCUCCUUCUUGCCGUCCUCCUCCUUCUUGCCAUCUCCGUCCUCCUUCUUUCCCUCGCCGCCGUCCUUCUUGCCAUCACCUGCUUCCUCCUUCUUUCCCUCGCCGCCUUCCUCCUUCUUCCCGUCGCCGCCGUCCUUCUUGCCGUCCCCUUCCUCCUUCUUCCCGUCGCC
RNAcentral lists this long non-coding RNA (478 nucleotides) under Sorghum bicolor (sorghum). RNAcentral's name for it is "long non-coding RNA (SBIC_LNC001803)". The record is from RNAcentral. Lineage: Eukaryota; Viridiplantae; Streptophyta; Magnoliopsida; Poales; Poaceae.